AACGCACCUUGCGGUCGCCGGUAAUCCGGCGGCCAUGCCCGUCCGAGCGUCGUUUCGACCCUCGGGAGUUAUCCUCGCAAGAGAAGUUCUCCCGGCCUUGGGCCAGCGCGUUGCGCGGCCCGCAGACCAGCGGCGGCAGUACCGGCGAUGUCCUCUGUGCAGUAGAUUUAUAGAAAACUCGCAUUGGUCCCCGGUAAGGCUUGCCUUGCAACCAACUUCUUUAGGUCGACCUCGGAUCGGGUAGGGAUACCCGCUAAACUUAA
RNAcentral lists this unclassified non-coding RNA (263 nucleotides) under uncultured Sordariomycetes. RNAcentral describes it as "sequence contains ITS2". The record is from RNAcentral. Lineage: Eukaryota; Fungi; Ascomycota; Sordariomycetes.